UCAAGCUAAUAAGAGCACAGGGUGGAUGCCCAGGCACCAAACGCCGAUGAAAGACGUGGCAAGCUGCGAAAAGUCACGGGGAACCGCAAGCAGGUAUUGAUCCGUGAACGUCUGAAUGGGGAAACCCGGCGGGUUAACAGCCCGUCACUAUUAACUGAAUCAAUAGGUUAAUAGGGGGAACGCGGGGAACUGAAACAUCUCAGUACCCGUAGGAAGAGAAAAUAAAGAAUGAUUUCCUAAGUAGCGGCGAGCGAACGGGAAAGAGGCCAAACCGAAGGGCUUGCUCUUCGGGGUUGUGGAUCAGCAAAAAGGACGGAAGACCUUAGCAGAAGAGGAUUGGAAAGUCCCGCCAGAGGGGGUAAAAGCCCCUUACGCGAAAAGGUCAAACGACGAGCUGACACCAGAGUACCGCAGGACACGAGAAAUCCGGUGGGAAGCCGGGAGGACCACCUCCCAAGCCUAAAUACGAAUUGGUGACCGAUAGCGCAUAGUACCGUGAGGGAAAGGUGAAAAGAACCCCGGGAGGGGAGUGAAAAAGAACCUGAAACCCUGUGUUUACAAGCAGUGAAAGUGCAAGUUAGGCACGAUCACGUACUUUUUGUAGAACGGACCGGCGAGUUACGUUAUGCAGCAAGGUUAAGAACUAAAGGUUCGGAGCCGAAGCGAAAGCGAGUCUGAAUAGGGCGAUAGUUGCAUGACGUAGACCCGAAACCGGGUGACCUAUCCAUGAGCAGGUUGAAGUGGAGGUAAAGCUCCAUGGAGGACCGAACCAGACGUCUGUUGAAAAAGGCGGGGAUGACUUGUGGAUAGGGGAGAAAUUCCAAUCGAACCCGGAGAUAGCUGGUUCUCCUCGAAAUAGCUUUAGGGCUAGCCUCAUGGAUCAUUGAUGGGGGUAGAGCACUGAAUGUGCGCGGGGGCCACAAAGCCUACCAAACGCUAUCAAACUUCGAAUACCAUACAAUGCAGACCAUGGGAGUCAGUCCGCGAGAGAUAAGUUCCGCGGGCAAAAGGGGAACACCCCAGAUCAACCGCUAAGGUCCCCAAGUUCACGUUAAGUGGAGAAGGAUGUGGAAUUGCACAGACAACCAGGAUGUUGGCUCAGAAGCAGCCACACAUUUAAAGAGUGCGUAAUAGCUCACUGGUCGAGUGAUUGUGCGCCGAAGAUGUCCGGGGCUAAACGUGACACCGAAGCGAUGGGUGCAUCUGAAGAAGAUGCGCGGUAGAGGAGCAAUGUGCAGAGGCAGAAGCCGUAUCGAGAGGCACGGUGGACACUGCACAAGAGAGAAUGCCGGUAUGAGUAGCGAGAGGCAUGCGAGAAACAUGCCCGUCGAAAGCCCAAGGUUUCCUGGGGAAGGUUCAUCCGCCCAGGGUAAGUCGGGGCCUAAGCCGAGGACGGAAGUCGUAGGCGAUGGACAGCAGGUGUAGAUUCCUGCACUACCGAUGGAAUGAAGCAGUGACACAGAAGGAUAACUCGAGCAGGGUGAUGGUCAACCCUGUGCAAGCAUCAAGGUUGGGUUGUAGUGAAGUACGCAACCCUAUAAGCUGAGAUGUGAUGCGGACCGAAAUUUCAGUAGGGAAGCGAGUGAGUUCACGCUGGCGAGAAAAGCUGCUAGUAUAUCCAAAGGUACCCGUACCGGAAACCGACGCAGGUGGGCGAGGAGAGAAUCCUGAGACGAACGGGAGAACCCUUGUUAAGGAACUCGGCAAAAUGACCCCGUAACUUCGGGAUAAGGGGUGCCUGCGAGAGCAGGCCGCAGAGAAUAGUCACAAGCGACUGUUUAGCAAAAACACAGGUAUCUGCGAAAGCGAGAGCUGACGUAUAGGUGCUGACACCUGCCCGGUGCUGGAAGGUUAAGGGAACAUGUUAGAGCAAUCGAAGCAUCGAACCGAAGCCCCAGUAAACGGCGGCCGUAACUAUAACGGUCCUAAGGUAGCGAAAUUCCUUGUCGGGUAAGUUCCGACCCG
RNAcentral lists this ribosomal RNA (1965 nucleotides) under human gut metagenome. Its description in RNAcentral is "bacterial LSU rRNA". It matches the Rfam family "Bacterial large subunit ribosomal RNA", at positions 3 to 1990 of the family's 2925-position model. The record is from RNAcentral.